GAUGAACGUUGGCGGCGUGCCUAACACAUGCAAGUCGAACGCUAGUAGCAAUAUUAGAGUGGCGCACGGGUGAGUAACACGUAGCUUACCCACCUCCCAGCGCGGGAUAACGGUUCGAAAGAACUGCUAAUACCGCAUAAGCUCACGGGCUAUAGAGGCACGUGAGAAAAGGCUUAGGUCACUGGGGAGCGGGGGCGUGCGGCCCGACU
This 209-nucleotide ribosomal RNA is filed under the name uncultured bacterium. RNAcentral describes it as "partial 16S ribosomal RNA". It matches the Rfam family "Bacterial small subunit ribosomal RNA", at positions 28 to 243 of the family's 1533-position model. The record is from RNAcentral.